UACGAAGGGGGCUAGCGUUGCUCGGAAUCACUGGGCGUAAAGGGCGCGUAGGCGGCCAUUCAAGUCAGAGGUGAAAGCCCAAGGCUCAACCUUGGAACUGCCUUUGAAUACUGUUUGGCUUGAGACCGGUAGAGGUAAGUGGAACUGCGAGUGUAGAGGUGAAAUUCGUAGAUAUUCGCAAGAACACCAGUGGCGAAGGCGGCUUACUGGACCGGUUCUGACGCUGAGGCGCGAAAGCGUGGGGAGCAAACAGGG
Molecule: ribosomal RNA, 255 nt
Filed under: uncultured bacterium
Lineage: Bacteria
Description: partial 16S ribosomal RNA
Rfam family: Bacterial small subunit ribosomal RNA
Source: RNAcentral